This is a long non-coding RNA of Betta splendens (Siamese fighting fish), 1184 nucleotides long. RefSeq lists it as uncharacterized. Lineage: Eukaryota; Metazoa; Chordata; Actinopteri; Anabantiformes; Osphronemidae. The transcript has 2 exons. The record is from RefSeq and is a predicted model, not a curated record.
CUUACAAUGUAGCCAGUCUCCAAAGGCUGCCCCUAGAAUAAAAACAAAACAUUGCAUUAGUUUAUAAUGAUUGCAUUUUAAAAUACGUUUAGGUUGAAUUAUUUUUUGUAUUAAAAGCGGGAUUCAAAGUGAACUACUUCACUCAAAGCCAACAGUUGAAUUGCAGAUCUAAUAGCAUGUGUGCAAACCAGUUUAACCUGCUCAUUUUCUGGAUUUACAGGUCAUCAGCUCCCAGAAAGGUAAACAUAGGUGGAUCAAGAAUAAGCUGUACGUGUAACAUGACGAAGAUGAAGCUGCUGGAAUAGCUGUGUGGGGCUCCCUCCUCCGGCUCUGACAGUGGCCCUCCACCGUUCUCCUCAGGCCCUCGCUUCCCCUUGUUCCUCCUUCCAAGCAUAUCUGUGCGCUGACUGGGCUUCAGGGAACAGUCCAUCUGAUGAGUAGAAAAAUAAUCUCUGUUUACAGGAGCGUCAAAAAGCACGAAUGUGGAUGACCAAGGCCAAAGACCACAGCUUAACUACAAUUAAUGACCUGCCAGGACGAACGUCAGCAAAGUUUCUACUCUGAGGGAUCAUAAAAAUAGAAACACUUGAAUGGUGUAAUGCAGAAGGAAUGAUAUAGUACUACUUAUGCAGACACUCAGUUAUGAGGUAUAUUUAAGAGGUGUUUGAAGUUAAUCUUUGUUUUUUUAAUGUGAUGUCUAUACAUAAAUAGCAUAAAAUUGUUCAUUUAAAGAGCACAAACUGCCAAAAUAAACAAUACUCAAAGCCACAAAAAUGUAAUAUUAGAAAGCAGAACUGUCAUUCUGUCUUAGCUACACCAGAACACGAGUGAAGAAACCUGAAAAGUUGCAGGACGAUGUGGUCGUAUUUGAGCAGCGUUUCUGUAUUUCCCUGCAUUUUCUCUAUAAACAGCGGGGCUAAGUGCAUCUGUAUAGUCAAACUGGCCAAGUGCUUGUCCUAAUUUGUGUUUCGUUUUGAAUUCUGUCUUAUGUUGCAGUGCACCAAACUUAAGCAAACGCAGCCAGGCCACGAGGAAAGACAACCGGGUGCAUCAAGAGGCAUAAAAAUAAACUGUGUAUGUCUAUUGUAUAUGUAAGAAACAAUGAGCUGAACACAGUAAAUCUCGAAAGAUACAGCUGACUUUUUCAGUUGUUGGUAUGAUUCAUUAAAAAAAAUGUAUUUACA